Molecule: ribosomal RNA, 253 nt
Filed under: uncultured bacterium
Lineage: Bacteria
Description: partial 16S ribosomal RNA
Rfam family: Bacterial small subunit ribosomal RNA
Source: RNAcentral
UACGGAGGGUGCAAGCGUUAUCCGGAUUCACUGGGUUUAAAGGGUGCGUAGGAGGGUAGGUAAGUCAGUGGUGAAAUCUUCGAGCUUAACUCGGAAACUGCCGUUGAUACUAUCUGUCUUGAAUAUUGUGGAGGUGAGCGGAAUAUGUCAUGUAGCGGUGAAAUGCUUAGAUAUGACAUAGAACACCAAUUGCGAAGGCAGCUCGCUACACAUAUAUCGACUCUGAGGCACGAAAGCGUGGGGAUCAAACAGG